This is a long non-coding RNA of Hemicordylus capensis (graceful crag lizard), 1495 nucleotides long. RefSeq lists it as uncharacterized. Lineage: Eukaryota; Metazoa; Chordata; Lepidosauria; Squamata; Cordylidae. The record is from RefSeq and is a predicted model, not a curated record. The transcript is spliced from 4 exons.
GAGGGCACCUGGGAACUGUAGUUCCUCCCAGAGUUAUCCCCAGGGUACACGGUUCCCAAAUGCUUUUCUGUUCUAAACAGGAACUGUAGAGCAGGAGGCAGAUCCAGGUCAAAACCACUGCAUAGAGAGUGACAAGAAUGACUGAUCACCUGGAUUAUAGUCCAUGCAGUGGGGAAUGGUUAAAAACGGAGGAGUUAUCUGGUUUGUUCACUCUGCAAAGUAGGAGUAUGCCCAAUUUUUGAGAGAAGAAAUCUUUAACUGAACAGUGAUUUUAAAAGCGAGAGGCUACAGUGCAUCCCUGAGAUAGAAGUCUGAAUGAAGAUGGAGGAGCUGGCUGGUGUCCACUAAGCAGCGUAACCCACGUUUUUUCUACACUGAUUGAUUGUCCUGCUCUGUAGAGGCCUUGUGUAGUUUCUCCAGGCCCCUCCAGACUACCAACUAAGUAAAAAACAGAUAAUACUUUCAACAUCUUUAUAAACAAACAAUCUUCAGAUGAAUUCAGCAGAAAGAACAAAAAAACCAAAAAGGACCACAUAAGAGGAUCAAAGUCAACAAGCAUUUUCCACCUAGGUCAAAAGAAAAGAAUGUUGAAAUGUCAGUGUUAGUGGUCUUAGUACGUAUAAUAUACAAGAACUAAGGAAAACCAUUGACUUGGUAAAUCAUGACUCUCCCUGAAUGUGGUUUAGAAUUGAACCUGCAAUUCUGUAAUCUCUGUGUGAUGGAGAACACUCAUGUUCUUGAAAACUCUGCAGAUGAAUAUGCAGCUGGGCUCUUGGGGGGGGGGGAUGGAAAAUAAAGGGCACUAGUUCAGGUGCCUCCUUUCAUCCUGACUGUGGUUGUAUGCUCUCAUUGCUCCUUCAUUGCAACACCACAUUUUAGAAAUGCCAUCUAAUAUUUGCUUUCAUGCCCACCCCCUAUUUAUUUUUAAUGUUCCUUAAGGCCACUGAAAACUCCACAAAUGGGUAAACCUGAAUUUUUGCCUGUCAUGUAGCUGAUAAAGGUAUAAACUAGUCUCUGUCAAGAAAAACAAGAUGGCGACCCAAGGACCAUCAGAGCAUAAACCACACAGGAUAUGAGUCAGUGGUGCCAAACUAAGACUCUCUUAUGCACACACAGAAACAGAAGCAUGGAGGUAGAAAAAAAUUAUUUCUUCACAGAAGCCCUCAAAGGUUUCUUAGAAAGGGUUCUCUUGUUUGAAGACUCAAUAAAGUUUUGCUCUACCUCAAAACUUGACAUACUUAUGCAGAAAUGUUAUUUUUUUCUUUUCACCAUCCUAUUUAUUUUUUCGUAGCACUCGUAGGCACUGCUUUAACAUAGCCUUCCCUGUGCUUGAUCUGUUUUAUUAGAAACCGAUAUUCUAUUAUCAUUUGUUCUCAUCAGUGUCUCCAUUUUGCUGUUGAGUCUCCUGAUCCCUGCAUUACGUCCAGGAUUAUUUUGAUAUUACUGACAGAUUUUUGAAGGUUAGAAGUCAAAUUAAAGCAUUUGUCUUUCAACA